GGGUUGUGAGGUUAAGCGACUAAGCGUACACGGUGGAUGCCCUGGCAGUCAGAGGCGAUGAAGGACGUGCUAAUCUGCGAAAAGCGUCGGUAAGGUGAUAUGAACCGUUAUAACCGGCGAUGUCCGAAUGGGGAAACCCAGUGCAAUUCGUUGCACUAUCGUUAACUGAAUACAUAGGUUAACGAGGCGAACCGGGGGAACUGAAACAUCUAAGUACCCCGAGGAAAAGAAAUCAACCGAGAUUCCCCCAGUAGCGGCGAGCGAACGGGGAGCAGCCCAGAGUCUGAAUCAGCUUGUGUGUUAGUGGAACGGUCUGGAAAGUCCGACGGUACAGGGUGAUAGUCCCGUACACCAAAAUGCACAGGCUGUGAACUCGAAGAGUAGGGCGGGACACGUGGUAUCCUGUCUGAAUAUGGGGGACCAUCCUCCAAGGCUAAAUACUCCUGACUGACCGAUAGUGAACCAGUACCGUGAGGGAAAGGCGAAAAGAACCCCGGCGAGGGGAGUGAAAAAGAACCUGAAACCGUGUACGUACAAGCAGUGGGAGCACCUUCGGGUGUGACUGCGUACCUUUUGUAUAAUGGGUCAGCGACUUAUAUUCUGUAGCAAGGUUAACCGUAUAGGGGAGCCGCAGGGAAACCGAGUCUUAACUGGGCGUUAAGUUGCAGGGUAUAGACCCGAAACCCGGUGAUCUAGCCAUGGGCAGGUUGAAGGUUGGGUAACACUAACUGGAGGACCGAACCGACUAAUGUUGAAAAAUUAGCGGAUGACUUGUGGCUGGGGGUGAAAGGCCAAUCAAACCGGGAGAUAGCUGGUUCUCCCCGAAAGCUAUUUAGGUAGCGCCUCGUGAAUUCAUCUUCGGGGUAGAGCACUGUUUCGGCUAGGGGGUCAUCCCGACUUACCAACCCGAUGCAAACUACGAAUACCGAAGAAUGUUAUCACGGGAGACACACGGCGGGUGCUAACGUCCGUCGUGAAGAGGGAAACAACCCAGACCGCCAGCUAAGGUCCCAAAGUCAUGGUUAAGUGGGAAACGAUGUGGGAAGGCACAGACAGCCAGGAUGUUGGCUUAGAAGCAGCCAUCAUUUAAAGAAAGCGUAAUAGCUCACUGGUCGAGUCGGCCUGCGCGGAAGAUGUAACGGGGCUAAACCAUGCACCGAAGCUGCGGCAGCGACACUAUGUGUUGUUGGGUAGGGGAGCGUUCUGUAAGCCUGCGAAGGUGACCUGUGAGGGUUGCUGGAGGUAUCAGAAGUGCGAAUGCUGACAUAAGUAACGAUAAAGCGGGUGAAAAGCCCGCUCGCCGGAAGACCAAGGGUUCCUGUCCAACGUUAAUCGGGCAGGGUGAGUCGACCCCUAAGGCGAGGCCGAAAGGCGUAGUCGAUGGGAAACAGGUUAAUAUUCCUGUACUUGGUGUUACUGCGAAGGGGGGACGGAGAAGGCUAUGUUAGCCGGGCGACGGUUGUCCCGGUUUAAGCAUGUAGGCUGAUUGUCCAGGCAAAUCCGGAUAAUCAAGGCUGAGGUGUGAUGACGAGGCACUACGGUGCUGAAGUAACAAAUGCCCUGCUUCCAGGAAAAGCCUCUAAGCAUCAGGUAACAUUAAAUCGUACCCCAAACCGACACAGGUGGUCAGGUAGAGAAUACCAAGGCGCUUGAGAGAACUCGGGUGAAGGAACUAGGCAAAAUGGUGCCGUAACUUCGGGAGAAGGCACGCUGGUGUGUAGGUGAAGUCCCUGCGGAUGGAGCUGAGACCAGUCGAAGAUACCAGCUGGCUGCAACUGUUUAUUAAAAACACAGCACUGUGCAAACACGAAAGUGGACGUAUACGGUGUGACGCCUGCCCGGUGCCGGAAGGUUAAUUGAUGGGGUUAUCCGUAAGGAGAAGCUCUUGAUCGAAGCCCCGGUAAACGGCGGCCGUAACUAUAACGGUCCUAAGGUAGCGAAAUUCCUUGUCGGGUAAGUUCCGACCUGCACGAAUGGCGUAAUGAUGGCCAGGCUGUCUCCACCCGAGACUCAGUGAAAUUGAACUCGCUGUGAAGAUGCAGUGUACCCGCGGCAAGACGGAAAGACCCCGUGAACCUUUACUAUAGCUUGACACUGAACAUUGAGCCUUGAUGUGUAGGAUAGGUGGGAGGCUUUGAAGCGUGGACGCCAGUCUGCGUGGAGCCAACCUUGAAAUACCACCCUUUAAUGUUUGAUGUUCUAACGUUGGCCCCUUACCGGGGUUGCGGACAGUGUCUGGUGGGUAGUUUGACUGGGGCGGUCUCCUCCCAAAGCGUAACGGAGGAGCACGAAGGUUAGCUAAUCCUGGUCGGACAUCAGGAGGUUAGUGCAAUGGCAUAAGCUAGCUUGACUGCGAGCGUGACGGCGCGAGCAGGUGCGAAAGCAGGUCAUAGUGAUCCGGUGGUUCUGAAUGGAAGGGCCAUCGCUCAACGGAUAAAAGGUACUCCGGGGAUAACAGGCUGAUACCGCCCAAGAGUUCAUAUCGACGGCGGUGUUUGGCACCUCGAUGUCGGCUCAUCACAUCCUGGGGCUGAAGUAGGUCCCAAGGGUAUGGCUGUUCGCCAUUUAAAGUGGUACGCGAGCUGGGUUUAGAACGUCGUGAGACAGUUCGGUCCCUAUCUGCCGUGGGCGCUGGAGAAUUGAGGGGGGCUGCUCCUAGUACGAGAGGACCGGAGUGGACGCAUCACUGGUGUUCGGGUUGUCAUGCCAAUGGCACUGCCCGGUAGCUAAAUGCGGAAGAGAUAAGUGCUGAAAGCAUCUAAGCACGAAACUUGCCCCGAGAUGAGUUCUCCCUGAGACUUUAAGUCUCCUGAAGGAACGUUAAAGACGAUGACGUUGAUAGGCCGGGUGUGUAAGCGCAGCGAUGCGUUGAGCUAACCGGUACUAAUGAACCGUGAGGCUUAACCUUACAACGCCGAAG
This 2920-nucleotide ribosomal RNA is filed under the name Klebsiella pneumoniae KP-1. RNAcentral's name for it is "bacterial LSU rRNA". It matches the Rfam family "Bacterial large subunit ribosomal RNA". The record is from RNAcentral. Lineage: Bacteria; Pseudomonadati; Pseudomonadota; Gammaproteobacteria; Enterobacterales; Enterobacteriaceae.